This 1366-nucleotide ribosomal RNA is filed under the name uncultured bacterium. RNAcentral describes it as "bacterial SSU rRNA". It matches the Rfam family "Bacterial small subunit ribosomal RNA", at positions 24 to 1382 of the family's 1533-position model. The record is from RNAcentral.
UCAGAAUGAACGCUGGCGGCGUGCUUAACACAUGCAAGUCGAACGAGAAAGCUCUUCGGAGCAAGUAAAGUGACGAACGGGUGAGUAACACGUGAGAAUCUGCCCUUCAGUGAAGGAUACCCUCGAGAAAUCGAGGCUAAUACUGCAUACGUUUCUACGGAAAGAAAGACGGCCUCUUGCUGUCGCUGAGGGAUGAGCUCGCGCACUAUUAGCUUGUUGGUGAGGUAAAGGCUUACCAAGGCUAUUAUGGUUAGCCGACCUGAGAGGGUGAACGGCCUCAUUGGGACUGAGAUACGGCCCAAACUCCUACGGGAGGCAGCAGUGGGGAAUCUUGCACAAUGGACGAAAGUCUGAUGCAGCGACGCCGCGUGGAGGAUGACGGUCUUCGGAUUGUAAACUCCUGUUAAGUGGGAAGAAAUACCUAUAAAUAAUAAGUAUAGGGGAUGACGGUACCACUAGAGAAAGCUCCGGCUAACUUCGUGCCAGCCAGCCGCGGUAAUACGAAGGGAGCAAGCGUUAUUCGGAAUUACUUGGGCGUAAAGAGCGUGUAGGCGGUUGAUUAAGUUGGUUGUUAAAUACCCUGGCUUAACUGGGGACCGGCAAUUGAUACUGGUUGACUAGAGGAUAAGAGAGAGAAGUGGAAUUCUCGGAGUAGUGGUAAAAUACAUAGAUCUCGAGAGGAACACCAGUUGCGAAGGCGACUUCUUGGCUUAUUCCUGACGCUAAAAUGCGAAAGCGUGGGGAGCAAACAGGAUUAGAUACCCUGGUAGUCCACGCCGUAAACGAUGAUCACUAGAUGUGGGUUUUGUUUAUCAAGAUCUGUGUCGAAGCUAACGCGUUAAGUGAUCCGCCUGGGGAGUACGAUCGCAAGAUUAAAACUCAAAGGAAUUGACGGGGGUCCGCACAAGCGGUGGAACAUGUGGUUUAAUUCGACACUACGCGAGAAACCUUACCUAGGUUUGACAUGCAACUGCCUACCAUAGAAAUAUGGGUCUUCAAGUUUUCUUGAACAGUUGCACAGGUGCUGCAUGGCUGUCGUCAGCUCGUGUCGUGAGAUGUUGGGUUAAGUCCUUUAACGAGCGCAACCCUUGUUCGUUAGUUGCUACUCUCGUAAGAGAGGCACUCUAGCGAGACUGCCUAGGAAACUAGGAGGAAGGUGGGGAUGACGUCAAGUCCUUAUGGCCCUUAUACCUAGGGCGACACACGUGUUACAAUGGCUAGUACAAAGGGACGCAACUUCGCGAGGAGUAGCUAAUCUCAUAAAACUAGUCCAAGUUCGGAUUGGAGUCUGCAAUUCGACUCCAUGAAGCUGAAAUCGCUAGUAAUCGCAUAUCAGAACGAUGCGGUGAAUACGUUCUCGGGCCUU